This 468-nucleotide ribosomal RNA is filed under the name uncultured bacterium. RNAcentral's name for it is "partial 16S ribosomal RNA". It matches the Rfam family "Bacterial small subunit ribosomal RNA", at positions 28 to 523 of the family's 1533-position model. The record is from RNAcentral.
GAUGAACGCUGGCGGCGUGCCUGACACAUGCAAGUCGAGCGAUCUUCUUCGGAAGAGAGCGGCGGACGGGUGAGUAACGCGUGGGUAACCUGCCCUGUACACACGGAUAACAUACCGAAAGGUAUGCUAAUACGGGAUAAUAUAUGAGAGUCACAUGACUUUUAUAUCAAAGUUUUUGUGGUACAGGAUGGACCCGCGUCUGAGUAGUUAGUUGGUAAGGUAACGGCUUACCAAGGCGGCGAUCAGUAGCCAACCUGAGAGGGUGAUCGGCCACACUGGAACUGAGACACGGUCCAGACUCCUACGGGAGGCAGCAGUGGGGAAUAUUGCACAAUGGGCGAAAGCCUGAUGCAGCAACGCCGCGUGAGCGAUGAAGGCCUUCGGGUCGUAAAGCUCUGUCCUCAAGGAAGAUAAUGACGGUACUUGAGGAGGAAGCCCCGGCUAACUACGUGCCAGCAGCCGCGGUAA